GGGGAUUUAGCUCAGUGGUCCUGCACCUGCCUGGCAAGCACAAGGUCCUGGGUUCGAUCCCCAGUACCCCCC
RNAcentral lists this transfer RNA (72 nucleotides) under Heterocephalus glaber (naked mole-rat). It matches the Rfam family "tRNA". From Rfam's summary of the family: Transfer RNA (tRNA) molecules are approximately 80 nucleotides in length. Their secondary structure includes four short double-helical elements and three loops (D, anti-codon, and T loops). Lineage: Eukaryota; Metazoa; Chordata; Mammalia; Rodentia; Bathyergidae. The record is from Rfam by way of RNAcentral.